UUAUCAUGUGAUACAGUCCUUCUAUCGUGGAUCCCUACAAGAUGGAGGUCAUGGAUAACUCGUCAAACCCCUUCGUCUGUCAUAUGUUAAGAUUUAUUCGACUUAAGUUCGAGAGCGGAGAACUCUUUCUCCACUGUGCAAUCUGCCCCGGCCGAGGUCUUACGAACUCAGUCUUAUAAAUCACAUAGGAUCUCUCCUUAUCUAUCAAGGUCGAUAGGUUCCUUGUAGAUGCAUACCCUACUCUUACAGUGAACCUACUGCAGCCAAUCUACACUGCAUGGACCCAU
This 287-nucleotide long non-coding RNA is filed under the name Phoenix dactylifera (date palm). RNAcentral describes it as "long non-coding RNA (PDAC_LNC011137)". Lineage: Eukaryota; Viridiplantae; Streptophyta; Magnoliopsida; Arecales; Arecaceae. The record is from RNAcentral.